Molecule: long non-coding RNA, 205 nt
Filed under: Elaeis guineensis (African oil palm)
Lineage: Eukaryota; Viridiplantae; Streptophyta; Magnoliopsida; Arecales; Arecaceae
Description: long non-coding RNA (EGUI_LNC026376)
Source: RNAcentral
CAGCCAUCCGAACUUAAGCUUGCUGUUGGAGUUCUGGAAAGAGAUCGAAGUCAGCUCUCCGACAUUCAGAGUUGCUCGGCUUACUAUAUUGCUCCACUCUUGUUGACGGUAAUUCGAUCUCAAGCGGUAUCAUUACUUCUAUCCCAUAAGCUAAGUUGAAGGGGGAUUCCUCAGUUGGUAUACGGAGAGUCAUUCGAUACACCCA